ACGGGUGAGUAACGCGUGAGGAACCUGCCUAGGAGUGGGGAAUAACAGUCCGAAAGGACUGCUAAUACCGCAUAAUGCAGUUGGGUCGCAUGGCUCUGACUGCCAAAGAUUUAUCGCUCUUAGAUGGCCUCGCGUCUGAUUAGCUAGUUGGUAGGGUAACGGCCUACCAAGGCGACGAUCAGUAGCCGGACUGAGAGGUUGGCCGGCCACAUUGGGACUGAGACACGGCCCAGACUCCUACGGGAGGCAGCAGUGGGGAAUAUUGGGCAAUGGGCGCAAGCCUGACCCAGCAACGCCGCGUGAAGGAAGAAGGCUUUCGGGUUGUAAACUUCUUUAACAGGGACGAAGAAAGUGACGAUACCUGUUGAAUAAGCCACGGCUAACUACGUG
RNAcentral lists this ribosomal RNA (390 nucleotides) under uncultured bacterium. RNAcentral describes it as "bacterial SSU rRNA". It matches the Rfam family "Bacterial small subunit ribosomal RNA", at positions 102 to 507 of the family's 1533-position model. The record is from RNAcentral.